This 69-nucleotide transfer RNA is filed under the name Ictidomys tridecemlineatus (thirteen-lined ground squirrel). RNAcentral's name for it is "Spermophilus tridecemlineatus (thirteen-lined ground squirrel) tRNA". It matches the Rfam family "tRNA". From Rfam's summary of the family: Transfer RNA (tRNA) molecules are approximately 80 nucleotides in length. Their secondary structure includes four short double-helical elements and three loops (D, anti-codon, and T loops). Further hydrogen bonds mediate the characteristic L-shaped molecular structure. tRNAs have two regions of fundamental functional importance: the anti-codon, which is responsible for specific mRNA codon recognition, and the 3' end, to which the tRNAs corresponding amino acid is attached (by aminoacyl-tRNA synthetases). tRNAs cope with the degeneracy of the genetic code in two manners: having more than one tRNA (with a specific anti-codon) for a particular amino acid; and 'wobble' base-pairing, i.e. permitting non-standard base-pairing at the 3rd anti-codon position. The record is from Rfam by way of RNAcentral. Lineage: Eukaryota; Metazoa; Chordata; Mammalia; Rodentia; Sciuridae.
GGGGUAGUGGCUCAGUGGUAGAGUGCUUGCCUAGCAUGUGUGAGGCCCUGGGUUUGUUUCCCAGCUCCA